RNAcentral lists this ribosomal RNA (500 nucleotides) under uncultured bacterium. RNAcentral describes it as "partial 16S ribosomal RNA". It matches the Rfam family "Bacterial small subunit ribosomal RNA", at positions 30 to 523 of the family's 1533-position model. The record is from RNAcentral.
AUUGAACGCUGGCGGCAUGCCUUACACAUGCAAGUCGAACGGCAGCACGGGAGCAAUCCUGGUGGCGAGUGGCGAACGGGUGAGUAAUGUAUCGGAACGUGCUCAUUCGUGGGGGAUAACGUAGCGAAAGCUACGCUAAUACCGCAUACGAUCUACGGAUGAAAGAGGGGGAUCGAAAGACCUCGCGAGAUUGGAGCGGCCGAUAUCAGAUUAGGUUGUUGGUGAAGUAAAAGCUAACCAAGCCUGCGAUCUGUAGCUGGUCUGAGAGGACGACCAGCCACACUGGAACUGAGACACGGUCCAGACUCCUACGGGAGGAAGCAGUGGGGAAUUUUGGACAAUGGACGCAAGUCUGAUCCAGCAAUGCCGCGUGCAGGACGAAGGCCUUCGGGUUGUAAACUGCCUUUGUACGGAACGAAACGGUGAGCUCUAAUACAGUUUGCUAAUGACGGUACCGUAAGAAUAAGCACCGGCUAACUACGUGCCAGCCGCCGCCGUAA